This is a long non-coding RNA of Cyprinus carpio (common carp), 1184 nucleotides long. The record is from Ensembl. NCBI's taxonomy places the organism in Eukaryota, Metazoa, Chordata, Actinopteri, Cypriniformes, Cyprinidae.
GCUGGAGAGAACAGCAGAAACAAGCUGUGAAUGAGUCUGGAGAGAGCGGCCGAUGCUGAGCCGCCAUGCUUCGCUCCACGGGCCGCCGCUUUCCAGGUUAUGAGCAUGUGUGUAUCUGGCGCCCCACCAAACCCAAGCGCUGCUCGCUGGCAGAGUGUGUGUGUGCCGUGCUAUUCUACAGAUUCAGAGCUGAACGACUGCCGAAGACGAUCGCCAGAUCUACUUGUGUGCUGUGAGACAGAGCUACUGAGUUCUUUAAUCCAGGGAAUCUCAACCAGUGGGUCUGAUGGGUCACAGACGGCAGAUCCUGUGCAGAUCGUCUCUCGGAGUCUCUCUACAGCCCAAACCGCCCAAAACAUCCCCGUGUCGGUCCAAACAUCAUGUUUCAUCUGAGCGUUUAACGCGACGGAGCGCUGCCGUUUGUGUGUGUAAUGUAUCAGUGUGUGAUUUCUGACAGAGGAAGUGUGUGUUGUGCCAUCGAUCUGCUCUCAGACAGCUCUUUCUGCUCCGCUGACAGACAGUGAUGGAGGGCGGCGAGCGGGCGGCACUGACUCCAGACCAGUGACACUGUCCCACGCUCACAGCGUCUAUUGAUCUGCUCUGGAUGGACGGCUGGAGACAAACACGCGGCUUACAGCCGGUUUAGAGCUGGUUCUACGCCGCUAAACUGAACAAAUCUAGAAUGAACUCAAGCACAGCUCUAAACUUCACAACUGACUGAAUCUAAUUCCCUUUAUAUCUUCCUUUCGAUGUUUUAGUGUUGUAUCUGAAGUCUGUUUAAAAGCUUACGAAGCCCUGUACACCCUUAUGAGACAGAGAUUUACACCGACAUGUCUUAAAGUCGACAUUUCCUUCCUCCUCUUGUGUUCCUGUGUGUUUAUGGCCAGAAUGCAUGUGUUAGAAACAAAAUUUAGUUUGUUUUACUCAAAUUUAGUUAGUAUUUAGUUUAUUUAAUGAAUAGUAUUCAUUAUUUUAAAUUAGCUUUUCUUUCUGUAUUUUCAGUUUUAGAAAAUGUAUGUCUUUAUUUCAUUUUUGCUUGCUUUAUGUAUGUACUUUCCCCCUCGCCCCAGUACUUUAUUUCAAGUUUGUUUUCCAUCUAAUGUUUUAUUAUAGCUUUAUUUCAAUUAACAAAAAGGUUUCUAGUAGUUUUAGUUAACAAUAAAAACACUGCUGUCUUUAUUUCA